This 336-nucleotide long non-coding RNA is filed under the name Capsicum annuum. RNAcentral describes it as "long non-coding RNA (CANN_LNC012966)". Lineage: Eukaryota; Viridiplantae; Streptophyta; Magnoliopsida; Solanales; Solanaceae. The record is from RNAcentral.
UUUGAUUGGCUAAAGUAAAUCGACCAUAACUCUUUGCUCCGAUAGUGGAUUUGGGUGAAACCAAUUGCAUUAGAAAGAAGACUCUCAAGGCUUCUUAUCGAUAUAUAGCAGCUCAUACAGUUCAUUUUUUACAAGGAGUUAUGAUCGUUUAAAGUCGACCCAAAAAUCUGUUUGGCUGCAGUACUUUUGUGUGCAGAAAAUUUCUGCACAUUUACUGUUCAUUGCGUCCACCGUUUUCAAGUUUCGAACAUGCUCGCUUAUAUCCGAUACUCAUCUGUUUUCAGAAAUCUUUAUAUCGUUGGAAAGCUAACUCGAUAAACUUCGCAUAGAAACUUC